RNAcentral lists this ribosomal RNA (256 nucleotides) under uncultured bacterium. Its description in RNAcentral is "partial 16S ribosomal RNA". It matches the Rfam family "Bacterial small subunit ribosomal RNA", at positions 524 to 777 of the family's 1533-position model. The record is from RNAcentral.
GACAGAGGAUGCAAGCGUUAUCCGGAAUGAUUGGGCGUAAAGCGUCUGUAGGUGGCUUUUUAAGUCCGCCGUCAAAUCCCAGGGCUCAACCCUGGACAGGCGGUGGAAACUACCAAGCUGGAGUACGGUAGGGGCAGAGGGAAUUUCCGGUGGAGCGGUGAAAUGACGUAGAGAUCGGAAAGAACACCACGGCGAAAGCACUCGAUGCUGGGCCGACACUGACACUGAGAGACGAAAGCUAGGGGAGCGAAUGGGA